AGAGUUUGAUCAUGGCUCAGAACGAACGCUGGCGGCGUGGCUAAAACAUGCAAGUCGCACGCGAACGUCAAGGUUAGCUUGCUAACUGAGACAAGUAGAGUGGCGAAAGGGCGAGGAAUACUUGGGUAACGUGCCUUGAGCACAGGGAUAGUCGUGGGAAACCGCGGGUAAUACCUGAUGAUAUCAUUGCAUCCUCGGAUACAUUGAUCAAAGAUGGCCUCUUCUUGAAAGCUAUCGGCUUUAGAGCGGCCCAAGUCCUAUCAGCUUGUUGGUGAGGUAAUGGCUCACCAAGGCUUCGACGGGUAUCGGGACUGAGAGGUUGACCCGACGCAUCGGAACUGAGACACUGUCCGGACUCCUACGGGAGGCUGCAGUAACGAAUAUUGGACAAUGGGCGAAAGCCUGAUCCAGCGACGCCGCGUGCAGGAAGAAGUCCCUCGGGAUGUAAACUGCUGUCAGGGACUACCAAGCAAUGAGGGUUAAUACCCCUCUGCGUUGAGGCGUCCCAGAGGAAGCCACGGCUAACUUCGUGCCAGCAGCCGCGGUAAGACGAAGGUGGCGAGCGUUGUUCGGAAUCACUGGGCUUAAAGAGCAUGUAGGCGGAUUGUCAAGCGUCUUGUGAAAGCCCUCGGCUUAACCGAGGAAUUGCAGGGCGAACUGAUAGUC
This 666-nucleotide ribosomal RNA is filed under the name uncultured bacterium. Its description in RNAcentral is "bacterial SSU rRNA". It matches the Rfam family "Bacterial small subunit ribosomal RNA", at positions 8 to 641 of the family's 1533-position model. The record is from RNAcentral.